This 396-nucleotide ribosomal RNA is filed under the name uncultured bacterium. RNAcentral describes it as "bacterial SSU rRNA". It matches the Rfam family "Bacterial small subunit ribosomal RNA", at positions 28 to 420 of the family's 1533-position model. The record is from RNAcentral.
GAUGAACGCUAGCGGCAGGCUUAAUACAUGCAAGUCGAGGGGUAACAUGGUAGCAAUACUGAUGACGACCGGCAAACGGGUGCGGAACACGUACAGAACCUUCCUUUAAGCGGGGGAUAGCCCAUAGAAAUGUGGAUUAAUACCCCAUAGUAAUAUUUGGUGGCAUCAUCGGGUAUUUAAAGAUUUAUCACUUAAAGAUGGCUGUGCGGCUGAUUAGGUAGUUGGUGCGGGAACGGCCCACCAAGCCAUCGAUCAGUAACUGGUGUGAGAGCACGACCAGUCACACGGGCACUGAGACACGGGCCCGACUCCUACGGGGAGGCAGCAGUAAAGGAAUAUUGGUCAAUGGACGCAAGUCUGAACCAAGCCAUGCCGCGUGAAGGAUGAAGGCCCUCU